RNAcentral lists this ribosomal RNA (253 nucleotides) under uncultured bacterium. RNAcentral's name for it is "partial 16S ribosomal RNA". It matches the Rfam family "Bacterial small subunit ribosomal RNA", at positions 524 to 776 of the family's 1533-position model. The record is from RNAcentral.
UACGAAGGGGGCUAGCGUUGCUCGGAAUUACUGGGCGUAAAGCGUGCGCAGGCGGUUCGUUAAGUCAGAUGUGAAAGCCCCGGGCUCAACCUGGGAACUGCAUUUGAAACUGGCGGGCUUGAGUAUGGCAGAGGGGGGUGGAAUUCCGCGUGUAGCAGUGAAAUGCGUAGAGAUGCGGAGGAACACCGAUGGCGAAGGCAGCCCCCUGGGCCAAUACUGACGCUCAGGCACGAAAGCGUGGGGAGCAAACAGG